UUUACCCGAAGGUGGUGCGCUAACCCGCAAGGGAGGCAGCCAACCACGGUAGGGUCAGCGACUGGGGUGAAGUCGUAACAAGGUAGCCGUAGGUGAACCUGCAGAAGGAUCA
RNAcentral lists this ribosomal RNA (112 nucleotides) under uncultured eukaryote. RNAcentral describes it as "partial small subunit ribosomal RNA". It matches the Rfam family "Bacterial small subunit ribosomal RNA", at positions 1416 to 1525 of the family's 1533-position model. The record is from RNAcentral.